This is a long non-coding RNA of Ornithodoros turicata, 1561 nucleotides long. RefSeq lists it as uncharacterized. NCBI's taxonomy places the organism in Eukaryota, Metazoa, Arthropoda, Arachnida, Ixodida, Argasidae. The transcript is spliced from 2 exons. The record is from RefSeq and is a predicted model, not a curated record.
CGAACAUUUUAGACACGAGCUGGACGCCGUGCCUCAAUCCUGGGACUUGCAGAUGUCGCGAUGAAGAUCUCUCAAGCAAGGAAGAGAGUUUGUAGGAUCAUGAUCGAUGCGACGCGGAACAGGACCGCAGCUGACUUCUAACAUGACAGGUAUUCCGGGUUUUCCGGUUUUAUCCGAUAAACUCCGCUUUUGGAGGCUCCAGUACCAUAGAGCUCUUCGAGAAAAGCCACGCCGUAAUUACUGGUUGACGGAGUUCGUUACCAUCUGUGUCAGGACUCCCUCGAGACUCUGUGGAGAAAUACCUUGGCCACUGCAGGAAUUGUACGGUGGAUGAUGUCCUACAUCCCAGAGGCUCUUUCACGGAAAGACACUCUAAAAUUCGCAGCCUCGUCUGCUUUCUCCAGGAAUCUGGCCUCGCUCAAAGGCUAUGAGUACUGCGCGGACUUCUCACCAAUUCUGGCAGUGGCUGCCCUAGAUCUUAACUUUCGGCCGUCAUCAUUCCUUCAUCUGUUAUGACAGCACCUCAUCUCAUCCUGGCUACAGUCGUGACGCUGCCCACAUACGUGAGGCCAACAACGGCAAGCCGAUUUUCGUCACCACCACCACCACCAUCGAGACUGCCUCAUAUUUGCACCUCGAAGUGUCAUCCAGGCCGCGGGAGUCAGGAGCAACUCUAAAGUCCACCAUUUCGCUUGCCUCCUACUGCUGCGUUCAUCUAAAGUCUACUUCUGGACACCGUGUACAUUGACAACAUUCCCCGGCAACUAGACAUGCUACCAUGUCGACAGAAUCUGUCAUCUAAAUAUCCCUAAAAGCUAUAGUCAGAGAGCCAUACUGUGUACCGGUGGUACUGCCGAAAGAGCUCGCCAUAGCUGUACUGUGUAGUCACAUUCUAAAACUUCAGAUAGCUACCAACCAAUGACACCGGGGAAUAUUAAACUCUUUAUUCCCCAUGGCACACUGCGAAACAACAAAACAUCAUCUUCAUAUCCCGGUUUGCUUCCGCUUGAUGCCCGACUUUUUUUCAUUCAACUAUAACUUCUGCAGCGAGAUAUCUGCACAAUAUCGAUUCCGAGCAAGGUUCAAAACAACUGUGUUCUCCAAAGGUUAAUGGCGUAAUGAGCGAACAGUGGAAGCUGCAUUUGAAACAAUGAAAAAUGCUCAGUAAAAACCCGCGUGACAGUUCAUUAAGCAAAGAGCCCUUACUGAGUCUUUGCACGGCACACAAAGUAAACAAUAUCUGCUAGAAAACACCACAUCACGUCCCUCUAACACGAAAGGCGUACUAUGCCGGCUAGGAAAAUUCAGUAGAAGCGUCGCAUGGGAAGCUGACCCUUUUAAUUACACAAAGUAUUUACAAACUCCCACGGAAGUGCACAGCAAGCAACGCGGCGGAGGUCGGCAGACAGACAGUUUCUGUUAGUUUUGGCCAGCGAAUGCAACAGACUCUAUGGGAAGGAUGAAGAAUGGAAAGGAAAAUAUAUGGUCGCAAACAGUAUACAAAUGAAACCUGGAGUCAUAAUUGAUUGGCUACCCUUUAAUACAAGAGGAGCAGAAUGGA